RNAcentral lists this small RNA (148 nucleotides) under Macaca fascicularis (crab-eating macaque). Its description in RNAcentral is "Metazoan signal recognition particle RNA (ENSMFAG00000062384.1)". The record is from Rfam by way of RNAcentral. Lineage: Eukaryota; Metazoa; Chordata; Mammalia; Primates; Cercopithecidae.
GCCUGGCGUGGUGGCGCACGCCUGUAAUCCUAGCUACUCGGGAGGCUGAGGCGGGAGAAUCGUUUGAACCCAGGAGACAGAGGUUGCAGUGAGCCAAGAUCACACCGCUGCCAUCCAGCCUGGGUGACAGAGCGAGACUCUGUCUCAA